This is a long non-coding RNA of Prosopis cineraria, 790 nucleotides long. RefSeq lists it as uncharacterized. The transcript is spliced from 3 exons. NCBI's taxonomy places the organism in Eukaryota, Viridiplantae, Streptophyta, Magnoliopsida, Fabales, Fabaceae. The record is from RefSeq and is a predicted model, not a curated record.
UAUUUGAGAUUUUAUUUUAAAAUAAGCUUGUUUUUAUUAAUAAAAAUAUGUAUAUCCUUUUCUUUCUUUCCCCCUUCUUUCUCUUUUUGGGUGGAUGUAAUGGCAAGUACAAAGCUUGAAAGUAAACACCAAAAUGACAGAGCACCAAGAACUCUUCUCUGUCCUUCCUUUUAAGCAUGACAAGCAAGCAAAAAUGCUCCACCUGCACACGUACGUGAGUGCCAGACUACUUAGUUGACAAAACAACGUACAGGCUAGGGAAAUGGUCAGGCUUGCCAGGGAUGCAAUGGGAAAUAAUAUUCAAGCUUGGUGUUGCUUCUUGAUCACAAGAUAAGGCUAAUGUUGGUUGUGGCUGUGGCUUCGUUGGCUUUGACAGUGUUUGGAUAUGUGGGAGCUGUGUUGGGAAAGGCUUGUAUUUUGAGAACUUGUGUGAAGGCUCAAGGCUGUAUUUGAAGGGUGGAUAUAGCUAUGGCAAUCAUUUUUGGGUUAACCAAGUUCUUGUGGAUUGAGCCUAUAAUUUGAAUGAAGUAAUUUGCUUUAUUUUGCUGUAUGAGGUCAGGCUCUCAACAUGAGAAUCUUAAAAAAAUGAUGUUUCAUUCUCUUGUGUUGAAGUAUAAUGGGAUAUUGUUGUGGGGAGAGAAGUGAUCAUUUUAGUCGGUGACAGAUGCAAGAGAGACUAUGGGAGCCAUGGCUCCCUGAAUUUUCAAAUUUUAUUUGGUAUUAUAUAGGUGGUCUGCAUUUCUGUCCCCCAAAAUUUAUACAAAUUUUAUGCCAUAAAUGCUUUUCAAUC